CGCGAAUAGCUCAUUACAACAGCUAUAAUUUACUUGAUCUUGACACAAUCCUACUUGGAUAACUGUGGUAAUUCUAGAGCUAAUACAUGCAUUAAAGCUCUGACCUCACGGGAAGAGUGCAUUUAUUAGAACAAAACCAAGCGGCUUCGGCUGUUUCUGGUUGACUCAUAGUAACUGAGCUGAUCGCAUGGUCUUGCACCGGCGACGUGUCUUUCAAGUAUCUGCCGUAUCAACUUUCGAUGGUAGUGUAUCUGACUACCAUGGUGAUCACGCGUAACGGAGAAUAAGGGUUCGACUCCGGAGAGUUCGCCUGAGAAAUCGCGAACACAUCUAAGGAAGGCAGCAGGCGCGAAAAUUACCCACUCUCAGCACGAGGAGGUAGUGACGAAAAAUAACGAGACCGUUCUCUUUCGAGGCCGGUCAUCGGAAUGGGUACAAUUUAAACCCUUUAACGAGUAUCUAUGAGAGGGCAAGUCUGGUGCCAGCAGCCGCGGUAAUUCCAGCU
Molecule: ribosomal RNA, 505 nt
Filed under: Cephalobus persegnis
Lineage: Eukaryota; Metazoa; Nematoda; Chromadorea; Rhabditida; Cephalobidae
Description: SSU rRNA
Rfam family: Eukaryotic small subunit ribosomal RNA
Source: RNAcentral